Molecule: long non-coding RNA, 306 nt
Filed under: Pan troglodytes (chimpanzee)
Lineage: Eukaryota; Metazoa; Chordata; Mammalia; Primates; Hominidae
Description: long non-coding RNA NONPTRT010138
Source: RNAcentral
CACCAGCACACCUCACUGAGGGGGAAACUGUCCACCAGCACGCUGCAUCCAGCCCUGCUCUGUGAGACCACCUCAUUCCCAUUCAGUCUCUUUGUUGGCCAGGAGUCCAUAAUGCAAAUAAUUUCCCGCAUCUUCACUCUUCAUCUUCUCACCCGCUUCUGGACAACUCCUGACAUUCUGUGAUAUUCAGCAUUCACCAUAAACAUUGCAUGAUUCAGUUCUCCUUGAUAUCUUGGUGCUUGGACUCUUCACUGUUGGCAUCAUUAGGUCAGCAGGUGAACACUCAGGAUUGUUCCUCUUCUGUUA